AAAUUGAAGAGUUUGAUCAUGGCUCAGAUUGAACGCUGGCGGCAGGCCUAACACAUGCAAGUCGAACGGUAACAGGAAGCAGCUUGCUGUUUCGCUGACGAGUGGCGGACGGGUGAGUAAUGUCUGGGAA
This 130-nucleotide ribosomal RNA is filed under the name Escherichia coli. RNAcentral's name for it is "partial 16S ribosomal RNA". It matches the Rfam family "Bacterial small subunit ribosomal RNA", at positions 1 to 123 of the family's 1533-position model. RNAcentral also lists the same sequence under 2 other names. Lineage: Bacteria; Pseudomonadati; Pseudomonadota; Gammaproteobacteria; Enterobacterales; Enterobacteriaceae. The record is from RNAcentral.